AGUUAGAGCAUAAUGGGUGGAAUUGAUAAGAAUUAGGGUUAAAAUUGGGGUCAAAAUUGAAAUUAGGUUUAAAAUUGGUUAAUUGAUGAAAUUGGGCUAAAUUGGGGUGUAAAUCAUGAAAUUGGAGUUGAAUUGGGUUUCAAUGAAUUGGGGGUAAUUUUGGUAUAUAUAAAGGGAUUUUCCUUAUUUGCAAAUAAGUUUGAAUGGGGUGGGUUUAAUUGAAAAACAAAAAAGUUGGAUGUCCCUUUUUUAAUUAAGUGCCCUUGUCAUGGGCCUAUUUGCCAUUACCCC
This 291-nucleotide long non-coding RNA is filed under the name Erythranthe guttata (spotted monkey flower). RNAcentral's name for it is "long non-coding RNA (EGUT_LNC000327)". Lineage: Eukaryota; Viridiplantae; Streptophyta; Magnoliopsida; Lamiales; Phrymaceae. The record is from RNAcentral.